GAAAUGCGAUAAGUAAUGUGAAUUGCAGAAUUCAGUGAAUCAUCGAAUCUUUGAACGCACAUUGCGCCCCUUGGUAUUCCGGGGGGCAUGCCUGUUCGAGCGUCAUUUCAACCCUCAAGCACAGCUUGGUCUUGGGCCCUGCCGGCAACGGCUGGCCUUAAAACUAGUGGCGGCGCCCUCGAGCUCUACGCGUAGUAAUAAACCCCUCGCGUGUGAGUCUCGGCGGCUGCUGGCCAGCAACCCCCAAUUUUCUAUGGUUGACCUCGGAUCAGGUAGGGAUACCCGCUGAACUUAA
This 295-nucleotide unclassified non-coding RNA is filed under the name uncultured Helotiales. Its description in RNAcentral is "sequence contains ITS1". The stretch from base 1 to 105 matches the Rfam family "5.8S ribosomal RNA", at positions 50 to 154 of the family's 154-position model. Lineage: Eukaryota; Fungi; Ascomycota; Leotiomycetes; Helotiales. The record is from RNAcentral.